GUGGGGAAUCUUCCACAACGGACGAAAGUCUGAUGGAGCAACGCCGCGUGAGUGAAGAAGGGUUUCGGCUCGUAAAGCUCUGUUGUCGGGGACGAAUGUGCAGUAUUUGAAUAAAGUACUGUAAUGACGGUACCUGACGAGGAAGCCACGGCUAACUACGUGCCAGCAGCCGCGGUAAUACGUAGGUGGCAAGCGUUGUCCGGAAUUAUUGGGCGUAAAGGGAGCGCAGGCGGGAAGGUAAGUCGGUCUUAAAAGUGCGGGGCUCAACCCCGUGAUGGGAUCGAAACUAUCUUUCUUGAGUGCAGGAGAGGAAAGUGGAAUUCCUAGUGUAGCGGUGAAAUGCGUAGAUAUUAGGAGGAACACCAGUGGCGAAGGCGACUUUCUGGACUGUAACUGACGCUGAGGCUCGAAAGCCAGGGGAGCGAACGGGAUUAGAAACCCUGGUAGUCC
This 450-nucleotide ribosomal RNA is filed under the name uncultured bacterium. RNAcentral describes it as "partial 16S ribosomal RNA". It matches the Rfam family "Bacterial small subunit ribosomal RNA", at positions 354 to 796 of the family's 1533-position model. The record is from RNAcentral.